Molecule: ribosomal RNA, 1323 nt
Filed under: Arthrobacter sp.
Lineage: Bacteria; Bacillati; Actinomycetota; Actinomycetes; Micrococcales; Micrococcaceae
Description: bacterial SSU rRNA
Rfam family: Bacterial small subunit ribosomal RNA
Source: RNAcentral
GGGAUUAGUGGCGAACGGGUGAGUAACACGUGAGUAACCUGCCCUUGACUCUGGGAUAAGCCUGGGAAACUGGGUCUAAUACCGGAUAUGACCAUCUGACGCAUGUCAUGGUGGUGGAAAGCUUUUGUGGUUUUGGAUGGACUCGCGGCCUAUCAGCUUGUUGGUGGGGUAAUGGCCUACCAAGGCGACGACGGGUAGCCGGCCUGAGAGGGUGACCGGCCACACUGGGACUGAGACACGGCCCAGACUCCUACGGGAGGCAGCAGUGGGGAAUAUUGCACAAUGGGCGGAAGCCUGAUGCAGCGACGCCGCGUGAGGGAUGACGGCCUUCGGGUUGUAAACCUCUUUCAGUAGGGAAGAAGCGAAAGUGACGGUACCUGCAGAAGAAGCGCCGGCUAACUACGUGCCAGCAGCCGCGGUAAUACGUAGGGCGCAAGCGUUAUCCGGAAUUAUUGGGCGUAAAGAGCUCGUAGGCGGUUUGUCGCGUCUGCUGUGAAAGACCGGGGCUCAACUCCGGUUCUGCAGUGGGUACGGGCAGACUAGAGUGCAGUAGGGGAGACUGGAAUUCCUGGUGUAGCGGUGAAAUGCGCAGAUAUCAGGAGGAACACCGAUGGCGAAGGCAGGUCUCUGGGCUGUAACUGACGCUGAGGAGCGAAAGCAUGGGGAGCGAACAGGAUUAGAUACCCUGGUAGUCCAUGCCGUAAACGUUGGGCACUAGGUGUGGGGGACAUUCCACGUUUUCCGCGCCGUAGCUAACGCAUUAAGUGCCCCGCCUGGGGAGUACGGCCGCAAGGCUAAAACUCAAAGGAAUUGACGGGGGCCCGCACAAGCGGCGGAGCAUGCGGAUUAAUUCGAUGCAACGCGAAGAACCUUACCAAGGCUUGACAUGAACCGGAAAGACCUGGAAACAGGUGCCCCGCUUGCGGUCGGUUUACAGGUGGUGCAUGGUUGUCGUCAGCUCGUGUCGUGAGAUGUUGGGUUAAGUCCCGCAACGAGCGCAACCCUCGUUCUAUGUUGCCAGCGCGUUAUGGCGGGGACUCAUAGGAGACUGCCGGGGUCAACUCGGAGGAAGGUGGGGACGACGUCAAAUCAUCAUGCCCCUUAUGUCUUGGGCUUCACGCAUGCUACAAUGGCCGGUACAAAGGGUUGCGAUACUGUGAGGUGGAGCUAAUCCCAAAAAGCCGGUCUCAGUUCGGAUUGGGGUCUGCAACUCGACCCCAUGAAGUCGGAGUCGCUAGUAAUCGCAGAUCAGCAACGCUGCGGUGAAUACGUUCCCGGGCCUUGUACACACCGCCCGUCAAGUCACGAAAGUUGGUAACACCC